This 678-nucleotide ribosomal RNA is filed under the name uncultured bacterium. Its description in RNAcentral is "bacterial SSU rRNA". It matches the Rfam family "Bacterial small subunit ribosomal RNA", at positions 94 to 790 of the family's 1533-position model. The record is from RNAcentral.
AGUGGCGCACGGGUGCGUAACGCGUAUACACCUACCUUAUACAGGGGUAUAGCCCAGGGAAACUUGGAUUAACACCCCAUAGUUUGGCAUCAUUAAAACUACGGUGGUAUAAGAUGGGUAUGCGUCCCAUUAGCUUGUUGGUGUGGUAACGGCACACCAAGGCAACGAUGGGUAGGGGCCCUGAGAGGGGGAUCCCCCACACUGGUACUGAGACACGGACCAGACUCCUACGGGAGGCAGCAGUGAGGAAUAUUGGACAAUGGGCGGGAGCCUGAUCCAGCCAUGCCGCGUGCAGGAAGACUGCCUAUGGGUUGUAAACUGCUUUUAUACGGGAAGAAACCCACCUACGUGUAGGUGGCUGACGGUACCGUAAGAAUAAGGACCGGCUAACUCCGUGCCAGCAGCCGCGGUAAUACGGAGGGUCCGAGCGUUAUCCGGAAUCAUUGGGUUUAAAGGGUCCGCAGGCGGCCAGAUAAGUCAGUGGUGAAAUUCCGUGGCUCAACCACGGAACUGCCAUUGAUACUGUUUGGCUUGAAUCAGUUCGAGAUGCCCGGAAUGUGUGGUGUAGCGGUGAAAUGCAUAGAUAUCACACAGAACACCAAUUGCGGACGCAAGGUGUCAGACUGUAUGACGCUGGAUGACGAAAGCGUGGUAGGCAAACAGGAUUAGAAAUCCUUG